Molecule: ribosomal RNA, 253 nt
Filed under: uncultured bacterium
Lineage: Bacteria
Description: partial 16S ribosomal RNA
Rfam family: Bacterial small subunit ribosomal RNA
Source: RNAcentral
UACAGAGGUCUCAAGCGUUGUUCGGAUUUAUUGGGCGUAAAGGGCGCGUAGGCGGCGGGGUAAGUCGGGUGUGAAAUCUCAGGGCUCAACCCUGAAACUGCACUUGAUACUGCUCUGCUUGAGGACUGGAGAGGAGACUGGAAUUCACGGUGUAGCAGUGAAAUGCGUAGAUAUCGAGAGGAACACCUGCGGCGAAGGCGGGUUGCUGGGCUGACACUGACGCUGAUGCGCGAAAGCCAGGGGAGCGAACGGG